AUUGAACGCUGGCGGCAGGCCUAACACAUGCAAGUCGAACGGUAGCACAGAGAGCUUGCUCUCGGGUGACGAGUGGCGGACGGGUGAGUAACGUCUGGGAAACUGCCCGAUGGAGGGGGAUAACUACUGGAAACGGUAGCUAAUACCGCAUAACGUCGCAAGACCAAAGUGGGGGACCUUCGGGCCUCACACCAUCGGAUGUGCCCAGAUGGAAUUAGCUAGUAGGUGGGGUAAUGGCUCACCUAGGCGACGAUCCCUAGCUGGUCUGAGAGGAUGACCAGCCACACUGGGACUGAGACACGGUCCAGACUCCUACGGGAGGCAGCAGUGGGGAAUAUUGCACAAUGGGCGCAAGCCUGAUGCAGCCAUGCCGCGUGUAUGAAGAAGGCCUUCGGGUUGUAAAGUACUUUCAGCGGGGAGGAAGGCGGUGAAGUUAAUAGCUUCACCGAUUGACGUUACCCGCAGAAGAAGCACCGGCUAACUCCGUGCCAGCAGCCGCGGUAA
RNAcentral lists this ribosomal RNA (504 nucleotides) under uncultured bacterium. RNAcentral describes it as "partial 16S ribosomal RNA". It matches the Rfam family "Bacterial small subunit ribosomal RNA", at positions 30 to 523 of the family's 1533-position model. The record is from RNAcentral.